Non-coding RNA from Penaeus vannamei (Pacific white shrimp), 562 nucleotides. Lineage: Eukaryota; Metazoa; Arthropoda; Malacostraca; Decapoda; Penaeidae. The record is from RefSeq and is a predicted model, not a curated record.
UCCAGGUUUCAAAAGACCACCUGGUUCACUACCCAUCGACAGCCGAGGGAGAACCGGCACUGUACACGUCAACGCUGGGCCUCACGCUAACUGCCACGUCAAGCCUAUUUGCUGAAGGUGUUCUCAAUCUCAGAUGUACUGCCACUGUACACGUGUAUGAGUGGAGCACAGAUGUUUCUCUCCACCUGGACAACGUCACGUACAGCCAGCCUCAUCACCUUCCGACGUUGCAGCAGACAGAUGGCGCCACCUCCGCCUUCUCUUCGUGCUUAUUAAUUGCGUUCUCCUUGUUCAGUUUUUGUGUCCUUAGACUAAGUUAAUGUAAUGUCUAAGCUUGUGUAAAAGACUUUUAUAUCCUAAUGUGCAACUCGACUCCUUUGAUAAAGAGUUUCCACUUACUUGUAACUAAGAAUUUAUUUGUAACGAGACACUCUCUCAAUACUCGCUGUGAUCACUUAAUUUACUUAUAUAGAAGAUGAUGACGAAGAUUAAAAAAAAAAAAAAAAAUAUCUGAAGAAUAAAAGGAUAAGAUAUAGAGUUUAUUUUCCAAUGUGUGGCAUCG